RNAcentral lists this ribosomal RNA (1556 nucleotides) under Escherichia coli. RNAcentral describes it as "bacterial SSU rRNA". It matches the Rfam family "Bacterial small subunit ribosomal RNA". Lineage: Bacteria; Pseudomonadati; Pseudomonadota; Gammaproteobacteria; Enterobacterales; Enterobacteriaceae. The record is from RNAcentral.
UUAAAUUGAAGAGUUUGAUCAUGGCUCAGAUUGAACGCUGGCGGCAGGCCUAACACAUGCAAGUCGAACGGUAACAGGAAACAGCUUGCUGUUUCGCUGACGAGUGGCGGACGGGUGAGUAAUGUCUGGGAAACUGCCUGAUGGAGGGGGAUAACUACUGGAAACGGUAGCUAAUACCGCAUAACGUCGCAAGACCAAAGAGGGGGACCUUCGGGCCUCUUGCCAUCGGAUGUGCCCAGAUGGGAUUAGCUAGUAGGUGGGGUAACGGCUCACCUAGGCGACGAUCCCUAGCUGGUCUGAGAGGAUGACCAGCCACACUGGAACUGAGACACGGUCCAGACUCCUACGGGAGGCAGCAGUGGGGAAUAUUGCACAAUGGGCGCAAGCCUGAUGCAGCCAUGCCGCGUGUAUGAAGAAGGCCUUAGGGUUGUAAAGUACUUUCAGCGGGGAGGAAGGGAGUAAAGUUAAUACCUUUGCUCAUUGACGUUACCCGCAGAAGAAGCACCGGCUAACUCCGUGCCAGCAGCCGCGGUAAUACGGAGGGUGCAAGCGUUAAUCGGAAUUACUGGGCGUAAAGCGCACGCAGGCGGUUUGUUAAGUCAGAUGUGAAAUCCCCGGGCUCAACCUGGGAACUGCAUCUGAUACUGGCAAGCUUGAGUCUCGUAGAGGGGGGUAGAAUUCCAGGUGUAGCGGUGAAAUGCGUAGAGAUCUGGAGGAAUACCGGUGGCGAAGGCGGCCCCCUGGACGAAGACUGACGCUCAGGUGCGAAAGCGUGGGGAGCAAACAGGAUUAGAUACCCUGGUAGUCCACGCCGUAAACGAUGUCGACUUGGAGGUUGUGCCCUUGAGGCGUGGCUUCCGGAGCUAACGCGUUAAGUCGACCGCCUGGGGAGUACGGCCGCAAGGUUAAAACUCAAAUGAAUUGACGGGGGCCCGCACAAGCGGUGGAGCAUGUGGUUUAAUUCGAUGCAACGCGAAGAACCUUACCUGGUCUUGACAUCCACGGAAGUUUUCAGAGAUGAGAAUGUGCCUUCGGGAACCGUGAGACAGGUGCUGCAUGGCUGUCGUCAGCUCGUGUUGUGAAAUGUUGGGUUAAGUCCCGCAACGAGCGCAACCCUUAUCCUUUGUUGCCAGCGGUCCGGCCGGGAACUCAAAGGAGACUGCCAGUGAUAAACUGGAGGAAGGUGGGGAUGACGUCAAGUCAUCAUGGCCCUUACGACCAGGGCUACACACGUGCUACAAUGGCGCAUACAAAGAGAAGCGACCUCGCGAGAGCAAGCGGACCUCAUAAAGUGCGUCGUAGUCCGGAUUGGAGUCUGCAACUCGACUCCAUGAAGUCGGAAUCGCUAGUAAUCGUGGAUCAGAAUGCCACGGUGAAUACGUUCCCGGGCCUUGUACACACCGCCCGUCACACCAUGGGAGUGGGUUGCAAAAGAAGUAGGUAGCUUAACCUUCGGGAGGGCGCUUACCACUUUGUGAUUCAUGACUGGGGUGAAGUCGUAACAAGGUAACCGUAGGGGAACCUGCGGUUGGAUCACCUCCUUACCUUAAAGAAGC